This is a long non-coding RNA of Quercus robur (English oak), 1022 nucleotides long. RefSeq lists it as uncharacterized. The record is from RefSeq and is a predicted model, not a curated record. The transcript has 5 exons. Lineage: Eukaryota; Viridiplantae; Streptophyta; Magnoliopsida; Fagales; Fagaceae.
UAAUGAUAUAGGAUACUAGAGAAGCACAAAGGUACUUUUAGCCACAUUGAAUACAAGAAUGUAAUAAAGAUCCAAAUACUUAAAACAAUUUGAGGGCAUGUGUUUUUUGCAUUCCAAUUGAUUUUCCUAUUUUGAUUGAAUUAGUAGAUGCCAGCCCACUGGGACUGGUUUAGAUGGUGCACUUGGGAUGCCUUCUACACUGAAGUCAGUCCACAAGGGAUCAAAGAGGGUCUUCAAAGUUUCUUGGAAGGAGGCUUUUUAUCUAAAUUUCUGAUCAUUGAUGAUGGAUGGUCAGAGACAGUAAAUGGCUUCUGUAAAAAAGAAGGUGAACCAUUUAUUGAAGGGACACAGUUUGCAAACAGAUUGGUGGACUUCAAAGAAAACAAUAAUUUCAAGAGUUUGGGUUCAGCUAAUACAUGCAUUGAUCUCCAUGAUAUUUUUGAUUCAAUCAAAGCAAAAUAUUGAUUAAAGUUAUUGGAGCAGUGUGCUCCCAUCAUCAGAAACAAUGAAAAAGUACAAUUCAAAAUCACCUGGAAACACAAGGAAUCUUAGAGACAUUGCCAUGGACAGCAUGAAAAAAUAUGGAGUUGGGAUUAUAGAACCCCAAAAAAUCUAUGGGUUUUAUAACGAUCUCCACCUCUAUCUUGCAAGCUGCAGUGUGGAUGGAGCAAAGGUUGAUGUUCAAAAUUUGAUAGAAACCUUAGGUUCAAGGGCCGGUGGACGGGUGUCAUUGACUAGAUGCUAUCAAGAAGCACUUGAGCAAUCUAUUGCAAGGAACUUCAAGGACAAUAGCCCGAUUUGCUGCAUGAGUCACCAUUCAGACUCAAUCUAUAGUUCAAAGAAGAGUGUAAUUGCACGAGCAUCGGAGGAUUUCAUGCCAAGAGAACCAACAUUUCAGACUUUACAUAUUGCUUCUGUGGCUUUAUUAGUCUUCUUCUAGGGGAGAUUGUGGUGCCAGAUUGGGACAUGUUCCAUUUAAGAUUUCCCACAUAUAUAUUAUUCCCUGCACAUCAAAGAGCUGU